UUNUGAACUGGGUGACUAGAGUGUGUCAGAGGGAGGUAGAAUUCCACGUGUAGCAGUGAAAUGCGUAGAGAUGUGGAGGAAUACCGAUGGCGAAGGCAGCCUCCUGGGAUAACACUGACGUUCAUGCCCGAAAGCGUGGGUAGCAAACAGGAUUAGAUACCCUGGUAGUCCACGCCCUAAACGAUGUCGAUUAGCUGUUGGGCAGCUUGACUGCUUAGUAGCGAAGCUAACGCGUGAAAUCGACCGCCUGGGGAGUACGGUCGCAAGAUUAAAACUCAAAGGAAUUGACGGGGACCCGCACAAGCGGUGGAUGAUGUGGAUUAAUUCGAUGCAACGCGAAGANCCUUACCUGGUCUUGACAUGUACGGAACCCUCCAGAGACGGAGGGGUGCCUUCGGGAGCCGUAACACAGGUGCUGCAUGGCUGUCGUCAGCUCGUGUCGUGAGAUGUUGGGUUAAGUCCCGCAACGAGCGCAACCCUUGUCAUUAGUUGCCAUCAUUAAGUUGGGCACUCUAAUGAGACUGCCGGUGACAAGCCGGAGGAAGGUGGGGGUGACGUCAAGUCCUCAUGGCCCUUAUGACCAGGGCUUCACACGUCAUACAAUGGUCGGUACAGAGGGUAGCCAAGCCGCGAGGUGGAGCCAAUCUCACAAAACCGAUCGUAGUCCGGAUUGCACUCUGCAACUCGAGUGCAUGAAGUCGGAAUCGCUAGUAAUCGCAGGUCAGCAUACUGCGGUGAAUACGUUCCCGGGUCUUGUACACACCGCCCGUCACACCAUGGGAGUGGGGGAUACCAGAAGUAGGUAGGGUAACCGCAAGGAGCCCGCUUAC
This 830-nucleotide ribosomal RNA is filed under the name uncultured bacterium. RNAcentral's name for it is "bacterial SSU rRNA". It matches the Rfam family "Bacterial small subunit ribosomal RNA", at positions 626 to 1457 of the family's 1533-position model. The record is from RNAcentral.